GAUGAACGCUGGCGGCGUGCCUAACACAUGCAAGUCGAACGGACAGACAAUGAGCUCGUUCCUUUGACGUUAGCGGCUGGCGGGUGAGUAACGCGUGGAUCACCUUCUUCUUUGUCUGGGAUAAUUACGUAAGACCGGAUAUAAUACUACAGCAUAUAUCGUACGGCUGGGAGCAAUAGUGCAUGACGGUUUUGCCGUUUCUUUUAGAUGGUUCCGCGCCGCAUUAGCUAGUUGGUAAGGUAACGGCUUACCAAGGCAACGAUGCGUAGCCGACCUGAGAGGGUGAUCGGCCACACUGGAACUGAGACACGGUCCAGACUCCUACGGGAGGCAGCAGUGGGGAAUCUUGCACAAUGGGCGAAAGCCUGACGGAGCAACGCCGCGUGAGUGAAGAAGGUCUUCGGAUCGUAAAACUCUGUUAUUAGGGAAGAACAAAUGUGUAAGUAACUAUGCACGUCUUGACGGUACCUAAUCAGAAAGCCACGGCUAACUACGUG
Molecule: ribosomal RNA, 497 nt
Filed under: uncultured bacterium
Lineage: Bacteria
Description: partial 16S ribosomal RNA
Rfam family: Bacterial small subunit ribosomal RNA
Source: RNAcentral